UACGUAGGGUGCGAGCGUUAAUCGGAAUUACUGGGCGUAAAGCGUGCGCAGGCGGUUUUGUAAGUCAGAUGUGAAAGCCCCGGGCUCAACCUGGGAAUUGCAUUUGAAACUACAAGGCUAGAGUGUGUCAGAGGGGGGUAGAAUUCCACGUGUAGCAGUGAAAUGCGUAGAGAUGUGGAGGAAUACCGAUGGCGAAGGCGGCAUCCUGGACCGACACUGACGCUGAGGAGCGAAAGCCAGGGGAGCAAACGGG
This 253-nucleotide ribosomal RNA is filed under the name uncultured bacterium. RNAcentral describes it as "partial 16S ribosomal RNA". It matches the Rfam family "Bacterial small subunit ribosomal RNA", at positions 524 to 776 of the family's 1533-position model. The record is from RNAcentral.